RNAcentral lists this ribosomal RNA (729 nucleotides) under Triticum aestivum (bread wheat). Its description in RNAcentral is "partial small subunit ribosomal RNA". The record is from RNAcentral. Lineage: Eukaryota; Viridiplantae; Streptophyta; Magnoliopsida; Poales; Poaceae.
AUGUGUGUCUUCGGUCAGAUUCUCAGUUCGUGUGAAUGGCGAGCUACUUCCGUAUUUUACUCCGUCUCGGGGCUGCGGCAAGGGGAUCCCGUGUCACCGUUUUUGUUCCUAUUGUGUGUCGAGGGACUGACCUCACUACUGAAUUAUUACGGUGGUGCUUAUAUUGACAGUGGUAUUUGGGUUUCUCCUAGCUCACCAUGGGUUAGUCACCUUUUGUUUGCCGAUGAUAGCCUUAUUUUCAUUAGUGCAAAGGUUGAAAGUGCGGACAGGCUAAAUCUUGCAAAUCUAUGCUGCUUGUUCGGACAGAGAGUUAAUAGGGAGAAAAGUGCAGUUUUCUUCAGUCCUAAUACGCCAAGAAAUAACAUACAGAUCAUGAAGCAAAGGUUGGGUAUACUUGUUGAAGCUUUCAGUGAUAGAUAUCUUGGGCUUCCAACUGCUGUUGGGAGGAUCACAAGUGGGACCUUUGAUCACAUCGGCGAGAGGGCUCGUAGCAAAAUUCAGGGUUGGUCAGAGAAGAAAGCAUGUGCUGGGCGCGAGACAUUGCUGAAAUCAGUAGUUCAGGCCAUCCCAACUUUUAGUAUGAGCUGCUUUCGGUUAACAAAGAAAGUAUGCAAAGGUAUUACCUCGUGUAUGGGGAAAUACUGGUGGGGAAGUUCUCUUGAUCGGAGGUCUCUCCAUUGGAUCUCAUGGAAGAAACUUUCCUCGCCAAAGAUCGAUGGUUUUUUUUAA